GGAGGGCCAUAGCUCAGUGUGAGAGCAUCUGCCUUCCAUGCAGAAGGUCCCAGGUUCAAUCCCUGGCAUCUCCA
RNAcentral lists this transfer RNA (74 nucleotides) under Podarcis lilfordi (Lilford's wall lizard). Its description in RNAcentral is "tRNA.Gly". It matches the Rfam family "tRNA". From Rfam's summary of the family: Transfer RNA (tRNA) molecules are approximately 80 nucleotides in length. Lineage: Eukaryota; Metazoa; Chordata; Lepidosauria; Squamata; Lacertidae. The record is from RNAcentral.